Molecule: ribosomal RNA, 1341 nt
Filed under: uncultured marine eukaryote
Lineage: Eukaryota
Description: SSU rRNA
Rfam family: Eukaryotic small subunit ribosomal RNA
Source: RNAcentral
GAGGCAGCAGGCGCGCAAUUACCCAAUCCUGACUCAGGGAGGUAGUGACAAGAAAUAACAAUAAACCGGCUUAUGCCGGUUUAAUUGGAAUGAGUACAAUUUAAACAUCUUAACGAGGAACAAUUGGAGGGCAAGUCUGGUGCCAGCAGCCGCGGUAAUUCCAGCUCCAAUAGCGUAUACUAAAGUUGUUGCAGUUAAAAAGCUCGUAGUUGGAUUUCUGUGGGGACGGAGCGGCCGGCCGCACAUCGCGGUUCGAGCUAGCGCUUUCCCUACAUCCUGCCGCGAACCGUGCUACCAUUAAUUUGGUGGCGCCGGGGAUCGGCUCGAUUACUUUGAGAAAAAUAGAGUGUUCAAAGCAGGCCACAUGCCUUGAAUAAGUUAGCAUGGAAUAAUAACUAAGGACUUCGGUUCUAUUUUGUUGGUGUUCGGGACUGAAGUAAUGAUUGAUAGGGACAGUUGGGGCGGUCUGUAUUCCAAAGCGAGAGGUGAAAUUCUUAGACCUUCGGAAGACAAACAGCUGCGAAAGCGUUCCGCAAGGAUGUUCCCUUUGAUCAAGAACGAAAGUUGGGGGAUCGAAGACGAUCAGAUACCGUCGUAGUCUCAACUAUAAACUAUACCAGCUAGGGAUCGGCCAACGUUAUUUUAUACCGACUUGGUCGGCACCUUAUGAGAAAUCAAAGCAUCUGGGUUCCGGGGGGAGUAUGGUCGCAAGGCUGAAACUUAAAGGAAUUGACGGAAGGGCACCACCAGCCGUGGAGCCUGUGGCUUAAUUUGACUCAACACGGGAAAACUUACCAGGUCCAGACAUAGUAAGGAUUGACAGAUUGAUAGCUCUUUCUUGAUUCUGUGGGUGGUGGUGCAUGGCCGUUCUUAGUUGGUGGAGUGAUUUGUCUGGUUAAUUCCGUUAACGAACGAGACCCCAGCCUGCUAAAUAGCGCGAGUGAGCUUUGCUCGCUGCGAGCUUCUUAGAGGGACUAUGAUGCGCGAUAGCACAUGGAAGUUUGGGGCAAUAACAGGUCUGUGAUGCCCUUAGAUGUUCUGGGCCGCACACGGGCUACACUGGCGCCUGCAACGAGCAUAUCAGCUGGCCCGAGAGGGUCUUGGCUAAUCUUUUGAACCGGCGCCGUGCUUGGGAUUGACCUUUGCAAUUGUUGGUCAUGCAACGAGGAAUGCCUUGUAAACGCGAGUCAUCAGCUCGCAUUGAAUACGUCCCUGCCCUUUGUACACACCGCCCGUCGCUCCUACCGAUGAAUGUUCCGAUGAAAUUUUCGGAGAGUGCCUGUGAACUUGGCUCUGCCUUGCGAACGGGAAGCUCAAAGUCACUAAAUUCUGAACAUUAAA